GGUAGUAGCAAAUAUUCAAGUGAGAACCUUGAAGGCCGAAGUGGAGAAGGGUUCCAUGGGAACAGCAGUUGGCCAUAAAUGUCACGCUGAACACUAUCUUUAUCAUGUGGAGCGCAGGCUCAGGAAGUUACCCUGAGUUCUGCUAGGAAACCAUGACCAGCUGGAU
Molecule: non-coding RNA, 166 nt
Filed under: Trichobilharzia regenti
Lineage: Eukaryota; Metazoa; Platyhelminthes; Trematoda; Strigeidida; Schistosomatidae
Description: Eukaryotic large subunit ribosomal RNA
Rfam family: Eukaryotic large subunit ribosomal RNA
Source: Rfam by way of RNAcentral